CCGACCGUGCCGCUCCAUUUCGCACGGGCAGUCGAACCGAACUGAACCGGGAUAGAGCAGAAAAAGAAGGCUAACCGGAGAGAAGGAGAAUUAUUGAAUGUAUGUACAAUGAGAGUCCCCGAUCGAAUCGGAGAGAAAAACUGCCCGUUCGUGUUUGUGUGUGCUCGUUUUCUCUUCUUCUUUGCAAAGACACGAACACGAACUGCGUUUAUGUUCUGUUUGGCUAUGGGGGGUUUUUGGGUUUCUGAUUUUUCUCUCUCUACUUUCUUUCACUUAACACUCACACACACACACACAUAUACACUUUCUCUCUCUCGUGUUUCAGUUUUCAAAGGCAUCGUUGUUUUUGCUGCUGCUGUUUGUUUGAUCUUUAUUUUAUUGUUAUUAUUAUUAUUUUCUAAUUUUCUUUUUUUUAAUUAAUGAAUUUUGUGUGCGGGUACCGAAGGUGUUCGUUUAUAUACGCGCCAAAUGGAGGGGAAAUUACCAGAAAUGGAGGGAGGAGAUGUUUAAUGACGAGAUUAUCCUCGAAUUGUGUUGUGUGAUUGGAGAGUGAAGUAUGUGACGUAUUUGUCCUUUCGUUAAGGCGUUAUUACAAAAAAGGUAAUGAUGGCAUUAAAUUUUCUUUUUCUUUUUUAUUUUGAAUUAAAAAUUUAAUUAAGUAAUGCUGAAGGGUGAAAAAGGUAGGUACAGGGUUAGCUCAACG
This 703-nucleotide long non-coding RNA is filed under the name Citrus maxima (pomelo). RNAcentral's name for it is "long non-coding RNA (CMAX_LNC003598)". The record is from RNAcentral. Lineage: Eukaryota; Viridiplantae; Streptophyta; Magnoliopsida; Sapindales; Rutaceae.